GUGCUUGCUUUGGCAGCACAGACACUAAAACUGGAAUGGUACAGGGAAGAUCUGCACGAUCCCAGGGCAAGGAUGACACCUAUUGUGCAAGGUUCCCUUAAAAAAAGA
Cricetulus griseus (Chinese hamster) is the source of this 108-nucleotide small nuclear RNA. The record is from Ensembl. Lineage: Eukaryota; Metazoa; Chordata; Mammalia; Rodentia; Cricetidae.